RNAcentral lists this ribosomal RNA (520 nucleotides) under uncultured Glomus. RNAcentral's name for it is "SSU rRNA". It matches the Rfam family "Eukaryotic small subunit ribosomal RNA", at positions 569 to 1090 of the family's 1831-position model. The record is from RNAcentral. Lineage: Eukaryota; Fungi; Glomeromycota; Glomeromycetes; Glomerales; Glomeraceae.
AGCAGCCGCGGUAAUUCCAGCUCCAAUAGCGUAUAUUAAAGUUGCUGCAGUUAAAAAGCUCGUAGUUGAAUUUCGGGAUCGAUAUAUCGGUCGUGCCUCGGUACGUACUGGUAUUUUCAGUUUUUCCCUUCUGACGAACCUUGAUGUCAUUAAUUUGGUGUCUUGGGGAAUCAGGACUGUUACUUUGAAAAAAUUAGAGUGUUUAAAGCAGGCUCACGCUUGAAUACAUUAGCAUGGAAUAAUGAAAUAGGACGUUUGAUUCUAUUUUGUUGGUUUCUAGGAUCGACGUAAUGAUUAAUAGGGAUAGUUGGGGGCAUUAGUAUUCAAUUGUCAGAGGUGAAAUUCUUGGAUUUAUUGAAGACUAACUACUGCGAAAGCAUUUGCCAAGGAUGUUUUCAUUAAUCAAGAACGAAAGUUAGGGGAUCGAAGACGAUCAGAUACCGUCGUAGUCUUAACCAUAAACUAUACCGACUAGGGAUCGGAUGAUGUUAAUUUUUUAAUGUACUCAUUUGGCGCCUUA